RNAcentral lists this ribosomal RNA (301 nucleotides) under uncultured bacterium. RNAcentral describes it as "partial 16S ribosomal RNA". It matches the Rfam family "Bacterial small subunit ribosomal RNA", at positions 509 to 807 of the family's 1533-position model. The record is from RNAcentral.
CAGUAGCCACGGUAAUACGUAGGGUGCAAGCGUUAAUCUGAAUUACUGGGCGUAAAGCGUGCGCAGGCUGUUCUAUAAGACAGAUGUGAAAUCCCCGGGCUCAACCUGGGAACUGCAUUUGUGACUGUAGAGCUGGAGUGCGGCAGAGGGGGAUGGAAUUCCGCGUGUAGCAGUGAAAUGCGUAGAUAUGCGGAGGAACACCGAUGGCGAAGGCAAUCCCCUGGGCCUGCACUGACGCUCAUGCACGAAAGCGUGGGGAGCAAACAGGAUUAGAUACCCGAGUAGUCCCUGUCUCUUAUAC